GCGAUCACACCAACACUAAUGCCCUGGAUCCCAUCAGAACUCCGAAGUUAAGCUUGCUUGGGCGAGGGCAGUAAUAGGAUGGGUGACCCCCUUGGAAGUCCUCGUGUUGCACCU
This 114-nucleotide ribosomal RNA is filed under the name Zingiber officinale. The record is from RNAcentral. Lineage: Eukaryota; Viridiplantae; Streptophyta; Magnoliopsida; Zingiberales; Zingiberaceae.